UGGGGUAUAGUUCAGGCGUAGAGCUCUCGCUUCGCAUGCGAUAGGUCUGGGGUUUGAUUUCCCAUACCUCCA
Molecule: transfer RNA, 72 nt
Filed under: Angiostrongylus costaricensis
Lineage: Eukaryota; Metazoa; Nematoda; Chromadorea; Rhabditida; Metastrongylidae
Rfam family: tRNA
About the family: Transfer RNA (tRNA) molecules are approximately 80 nucleotides in length. Their secondary structure includes four short double-helical elements and three loops (D, anti-codon, and T loops).
Source: Rfam by way of RNAcentral